Molecule: ribosomal RNA, 287 nt
Filed under: uncultured organism
Description: partial 16S ribosomal RNA
Rfam family: Bacterial small subunit ribosomal RNA
Source: RNAcentral
UUAGUGCUUCGGGAACCGUGAGCACAGGUGCUGCAUUGGCUGUGUCGUCUUGUGAAUGUUGGGUUAAGUCCCGCAACGAGCGCAACCCUUAUCCUUUGUUGCCAGCGAUUCGGUCGGGAACUCAAAGGAGACUGCCGGUGAUAAACCGGAGGAAGGUGGGGAUGACGUCAAGUCAUCAUGGCCCUUACGAGUAGGGCUACACACGUGCUACAAUGGCGCAUACAAAGAGAAGCGACCUCGCGAAAGAAGGCGGAACCUCAUAAAGUGCGUCGUAGAUCCGGAUCGGA